RNAcentral lists this unclassified non-coding RNA (218 nucleotides) under soil metagenome. RNAcentral describes it as "partial contains 5.8S ribosomal RNA, internal transcribed spacer 2, and large subunit ribosomal RNA". The record is from RNAcentral.
AACCAUAGAAACCUGCGGAGUACCUGCGGAAGGAUCAUUACAGAGUUCAUGCCCUCACGGGUAGAUCUUCCACCCUUGAAUACUAUACCUUUGUUGCUUUGGCGGGCCGCUUUGGCUACUGGCUCUGGCUAGUAAGUGCCCGCCAAAGAACCCCAAAACUCUGAAUAUUAGUGUCGUCUGAGUACUAUAUAAUAGUUAAAACUUUUAACAAUGGAUCU